UGUGAGUGCUGGAUGAUGUGUGUGUGUGUGCUGGAUGAUGUGUGUGUGAGUGCUGGAUGAUGUGUGUGUGUGCUGGAUGAUUGUGUGUGUGUGCUGGAUGAUGUGUGUGUGUGUGCUGGAUGAUUGUGUGUGUGCUGGAUGGUGUGUGUGCUGGAUGAUGUGUGUGUGUGCUGGAUGGUGUGUGUGUGUGUGUGCUGGAUGAGUGUGUGUGUGUGUGUGUGCUGGAUGAUGUGUGUGUGUGUGUGUGUGCUGGAUGAUGUGUGUGUGUGUGCUGGAUGAUGUGUG
Molecule: non-coding RNA, 285 nt
Organism: Pelobates cultripes (western spadefoot toad)
Lineage: Eukaryota; Metazoa; Chordata; Amphibia; Anura; Pelobatidae
Source: the annotation of a GenBank genome assembly